GUCCUUUUGGAUUUUUAUUUAAGGUCUAGUCUGCCCACUGAAUUUAUAUUUUAAAUGGCCGCAGUAUUUUGACUGUGCAAAGGUAGCAUAAUCAUUAGUUUUUUAAUUAAAAGCUUGUAUGAAAGGCUGGACGAGGUAAAAUCUGUCUCUAUUUAAAUUAUAAUAGAAUUUAACUUUUAAGUUAAAAGGCUUAAAUAUUAUUAAAAGACGAGAAGACCCUAUAGAUCUUUAUAAUUUAUUAAAUGAAAUUAAUUUAGAAGUAUUUAUGUUUUAUUUAAUUAAAUUAUUUUAUUGGGGUAAUAAAAAGAUUGUAUUAAUUCUUUUUUACAAUAAACAUUAAUUUAUGAAUAUUAAUGAUCCAGUUUUACUGAUUAUAAGAUUAAGUUACCUUAGGGAUAACAGCGUAAUUUUUUUAGAGAGUUCAUAUCGAUAAAAAAGUUUGCGACCUCGAUGUUGGAUUAAAGAUUAUUUUAGGUGUAGAAGCUUAAUAAUUUUGGUCUGUUCGACCAUUAAAUCUUUAC
RNAcentral lists this ribosomal RNA (521 nucleotides) under Carabus amplipennis amplipennis. RNAcentral describes it as "partial 16S ribosomal RNA". It matches the Rfam family "Bacterial large subunit ribosomal RNA", at positions 1829 to 2599 of the family's 2925-position model. The record is from RNAcentral. Lineage: Eukaryota; Metazoa; Arthropoda; Insecta; Coleoptera; Carabidae.